RNAcentral lists this ribosomal RNA (450 nucleotides) under uncultured bacterium. Its description in RNAcentral is "partial 16S ribosomal RNA". It matches the Rfam family "Bacterial small subunit ribosomal RNA", at positions 354 to 796 of the family's 1533-position model. The record is from RNAcentral.
GUGGGGAAUUUUGGACAAUGGGCGCAAGCCUGAUCCAGCAAUGCCGCGUGCAGGAAGAAGGCUUUCGGGUUGUAAACUGCUUUUGUACGGAACGAAACGGUCCUGGUUAAUACCUGGGGCUAAUGACGGUACCGUAAGAAUAAGCACCGGCUAACUACGUGCCAGCAGCCGCGGUAAUACGUAGGGUGCAAGCGUUAAUCGGAAUUACUGGGCGUAAAGCGUGCGCAGGCGGUUUUGUAAGACAGAGGUGAAAUCCCCGGGCUCAACCUGGGAGCUGCCGUUGUGACUGCAAGGCUGGAGUGCGGCAGAGGGGGAUGGAAUUCCGCGUGUAGCAGUGAAAUGCGUAGAUAUGCGGAGGAACACCGAUGGCGAAGGCAAUCCCCUGGGCCUGCACUGACGCUCAUGCACGAAAGCGUGGGGAGCAAACAGGAUUAGAAACCCGGGUAGUCC